UCAAUUGUUUUAUAAUUGAAGACUAGAAUGAAUGGUUGAAUGAAAUAAAGACUGUCUUAUUUAUAUUAAUUAGAAAUUGGCUUUUAAAUGAAGAGAUUUAAAUGUGAUUGAUAGACAAGAAGACCCUAUUGAGCUUUAAAUUAUUUUAAGGGUAUAUUUUAUUUUUAUAAAUAUGAGUUUUAAAGUUAAUUUUUGGUUGGGGCGACUGAGGAGUAGAGGAAGCUUCCUUUAAUAGUAAAAGAUUAUUGAGUUUUGAUCCAAUAUGAUUGAUUAAAAGAGAUAGUUACCGUAGGGAUAACAGCAUAAUCUUCUUUGAGAGUUCAUAUCGAAGAGAAGGGUUGUGACCUCGAUGUUGGACUAAAAUAUCCUAUAAAUGCAGUUGU
RNAcentral lists this ribosomal RNA (383 nucleotides) under Bellamya sp. sho3. RNAcentral describes it as "partial 16S rRNA". Lineage: Eukaryota; Metazoa; Mollusca; Gastropoda; Architaenioglossa; Viviparidae. The record is from RNAcentral.